AGCGAACGCUGGCGGCAGGCCUAACACAUGCAAGUCGAACGAACCCUUCGGGGUUAGUGGCAGACGGGUGAGUAACACGUGGGAACGUGCCCUUUGGUUCGGAACAACUCAGGGAAACUUGAGCUAAUACCGGAUAAGCCCUUACGGGGAAAGAUUUAUCGCCGAAAGAUCGGCCCGCGUCUGAUUAGCUAGUUGGUGUGGUAACGGCGCACCAAGGCGACGAUCAGUAGCUGGUCUGAGAGGAUGAUCAGCCACAUUGGGACUGAGACACGGCCCAAACUCCUACGGGGGGCAGCAGUGGGGAAGUAUUGGACAAUGGGCGGCAAGCCUGAUCCAGCCAUGCCGCGUGAGUGAUGAAGGCCCUAGGUUGUAAAGCUCUUUUGUGCGGGAAGAUGAUGACGGUACCGC
RNAcentral lists this ribosomal RNA (408 nucleotides) under uncultured bacterium. RNAcentral describes it as "bacterial SSU rRNA". It matches the Rfam family "Bacterial small subunit ribosomal RNA", at positions 29 to 481 of the family's 1533-position model. The record is from RNAcentral.